Molecule: ribosomal RNA, 236 nt
Filed under: uncultured Candidatus Saccharibacteria bacterium
Lineage: Bacteria; Candidatus Saccharimonadota
Description: partial 16S ribosomal RNA
Rfam family: Bacterial small subunit ribosomal RNA
Source: RNAcentral
UAAGUAGAUAGUGAAAUCUGGUGGCUCAACCAUUCAGACUAUUAUCUAAACUAUCUAGCUCGAGACUGUUAUGGGUAACUGGAAUUUCUAGUGUAGGAGUGAAAUCCGUAGAUAUUAGAAGGAACACCAAUAGCGUAGGCAGGUUACUGGAACAGUUCUGACACUAAGGCACGAAAGCGUAGGGAGCAAACGGGAUUAGAUACCCCGGUAGUCUACGCUGUAAACGAUGGAUACUA